UACGUAGGGUGCGAGCGUUGUUCGGAAUUACUGGGCGUAAAGCGCGCGUAGGCGGCUUUGUAAGUUAGAGGUGAAAGCCCGGGGCUCAACCCCGGAAUUGCCUUUAAGACUGCAUCGCUUGAAUCCGGGAGAGGUGAGUGGAAUUCCGAGUGUAGAGGUGAAAUUCGUAGAUAUUCGGAAGAACACCAGUGGCGAAGGCGGCUCACUGGACCGGCAUUGACGCUGAGGUGCGAAAGCGUGGGGAGCAAACAGG
Molecule: ribosomal RNA, 253 nt
Filed under: uncultured bacterium
Lineage: Bacteria
Description: partial 16S ribosomal RNA
Rfam family: Bacterial small subunit ribosomal RNA
Source: RNAcentral